CAGACACUUAACCGACCGAGCCACCCAGGUGCCCCCAGAACUGUUUUAUGAAUGUUAGUUUCCUCCUCUCGACCUCAUGCAGGCUUCAUGAUGUCCACAUAAAAAAAACUUUGACACUUGUUUGCAACAGCCAAAAAGUGGAAACAACCCAAAUGUCCAGCAACGAUGAAUAAAUCAACAAAAUAUGGCCUAUCCUUGAAAUAGAAUAGUAUUUAGUCAUAGAAAGGAAUAAAGGACUGACACAUGGAUGUACCUUAAAAACAUAAUGUUAAGUGAAAGGAGCCAGAUAGAAAAGGCCAUAUGUUGUAUGAUUCUACUUACAAGAAAUGUGCAGAAUGGGCAAAUCCAUAGAGACAGAAAGUAGACUGGCAGUGGCCAGGAGCUAGGGGACCAACCAAUGGGGAAUGACUGCUGAUAGAUGUGUUUCUUUUGGGGUUGAUGGAGAUAUUCUGGAAUUAGAUAAUGAUGGUGGUUGCACAGCCUCAUGAACAUUCUAAAAUUUGUACAUUUGUAUACUCUAAACUGGUGAGUUUUAUUGUGUGUGAAUGAUAUCUUUCCUUUUAGAAGAUGUAUAUUCACACGCUGAAACCCAGGCUGCAAAAAGAAAGGACAGGGAGAAAGCCUCUAUCAGGGAAACCAACCUCACUUAGGGUGCAGGAAGCCACAAAUGUAAGAACAGCAAAGGGUAAGUAACACUUAAUAAGGUAAAGGGCCAGUGAAAGAGUUUCCAAGUAAAAGGAGCUAGUGCAAAGGCCCUGUGGUUAGAGGGAGCAUGGUGCAGAGAGGGAAGGAAAAAAGGAGAUGGUGCCAAGGGGUAGAGAACAGAGCAAGCUAGUGCAGGGUAGGGCUGGGGCAGUGGGCUCAGCCCUCAGAAGGUCUCACCUGCCUUCUGCUUCCCACCAAUUCCUCUAUUAGAACAUCACAUUUUUGGUUCAGUGAUUUCUGCACUCUUGUUUUCUCAUAUUAUCCUGAUGCUACUUCACAAUGCCUGCAUCAGUCACCUCACUUCGUCUCAUCACAGGGGCAUAUUAUCAUCUUACAAAACAACAAGGCUGAGUACAAUAUAGGAAGAUAUUUUGAGAGACCACAUUCAUGUAACUUUUAUUACAGUAUAGUGUUAUAAUCGUUCUAUUUUAUUAUUAGUUAUUGCUCAUCUCUUUCUGUGCCUAAUUCAUAAGUGAAACUUUAUCAUAGGUAUGUGUGUGUAGGAAAAAACAUAGUCUAUGUGGGGUUCGGUUUCAGGCAUCCCCUGGGGGUCUUGGAACGUAUCCCCUACAAUACGGGGGGACCACUCUGCUACCAUUGUGCUUUGGCACCUUCUGCUUUCCCUCCCCCCCAGCUCAUGCCCACAGGUCUCCUGGGAGGAAUGCCUUAAAGAUUCUAAUGUUUAUGGAGCUUCUGUAAUAUACUAAAGCUUUUCAUGUGUUAAGACAGUCCUUUAUACCUACCCAAGACUCGUACUGUUACUAUCCCCAUCUCAAAGAUGAGAAAACUGAGCUCAGAGUAGUCAUCAUAUGCCUGAAACUGGAAAGGCUGGAGCAGGAUUCUAAGGAAUCUGAACUCUUGCUCCUUCAAAUUGCCUGGGGCUACUUCUCUGACUCCUCUCUACCUGCCUUUUCUCACACUGUCUAUAAACCCGCAUUUCCAAGAAGACUUCCAGGGUUCCCUUCCUAGGUAGACUGUAUCCUUCCUCAUCUGUGCUUUUGAAACACAAUUAGUUCAAGUCACUCUUCAGCUCAAAAUCCUCACUCAGAAUAAAACUCUCAACGAGGCCUACAAGGUCCUCUAUUAUCUGUCCCUCUCCACCAGCUCCCUCCCUGACCCGUUUACUUUGUGGCCUUAACUCUACCUUCCCCUCAUCCUGUACCAACCACACAGGCCUCCUUGCUGGUCCUCAGUCAGGCUGCGCCUGCUCUCUGCCUCACGGCCUUUGCACUUGCUAUUUCUCCCAUGAUCCUCCACACGACCCAUUUCCUUCAGUUUUCUGCCGUCACCUUUUCAGGGGGCCUUCCAGACCACCUUCUCUAAAACAACUGCCCCAACUGGCAUUCCUUCCCUCUCAUCCGGUUUUAUGUUUUCCCUAACAUAUGUCAUCCUUUGACAUAUUUUAAAUGCCUUUGUUUAUGAACAUACUGUCCUUCCUUCUUAGACUCCAAGCUUCAUGAGAGCAGGCACUGUCCCUAGAGCAGGGGAAGCCAUUGAAGGAUUCUAAGCUGAGGAGUAAGAAAAACCACACUUACAUUUUUUUUAAGUUCAUUUAUUUAUAAUCUUUACACCAAACGUGGGGCGUAAGCUCACAACCCCGAAAUCAAGAGUUGCAUGUUCUGCCAAUUGAGCCAGGCUGGCGCCCAACCACAUUUACAUUUUUAAAGGAUUUCAGUUGUGUAGAGAGUAGACUGGGGGGAAAAAGUAUUCCUUAUAAAAACAAUUGUAAUGCUAAAAAAGGUUGAAAACCUCAUGACAUAGUGUAUCCCUUUCGUUCCACAGAUGAGAAAACUAAGGCUUAGAGAGGGUGGUGGGGGGAACCCCACUGGAGACUUUCCAAUUUCUGGUUUUCUACAAGAAUCCUGGAAAAAGAGACCACCCAGGACACUGUCCUCCCCAGAACCUCCUGUCCACGGCCCAUCUCCACGAGGGUGCCAGCACCUUCUCUCAGGGGUGGCAUGGUACUCCCCAGCACGAGGGCCCGCACAAUGGCCGCCAAGCUUCCGCGCUGCACAGUUCUGGGGCCGAUGCAGCACACACAUCGUUCUCUCCAGACCCUUGCGUGAGCAUUUCCAUCCGAUGAUCCCCGAAGGGCCGCACAGCUGAGUUGCGGGGCAGCUCAUGCGUUUCCGUGGAGGGAAAGGUGCGUUGACACCUGCCAUCCUGGGAGCCCUCCGCACACGCACUGAGCACCUCCCAGCCCGCCGUGCCUCGGAGGCCCUUUCCCCCCAUUUGCUCCCUGGAUGCAGGUCUGAAUUUCUGGAGUCUGCCUAACAGAGGCUGCCACCUGGGGCCUGGUCUUUUUCUGUCUCCCCAUCCUGUUCUCUGAUCCCGCUGUGGCCCAGCCCCAUCUCCACACACCUCCAGGCUCUUAGACGGUAGCCUGUGGCCGUCCACCUCCCAGCUGGUGACAAACACUGAGGCUGUGCCCCGGGGGCCCUGGAGCACGACUGGCUCAGUCCCACUGGGACUUGGGGGCCAGGAGGCAGGGAAACUCUCCCACUGAAACUGUGGACAUGGGUGGGGGUAGCAGAAAGUGCCCUGAGUCCGCGGUCUUGCCAGCUGCAGGCGUGAGACUGUGCAGGUGUAUCUCGUCGAGAGCGUGUGGGUGAGUGUGCGCGCCGGAUCCCGUGCCAGGGUGCGUGUGUGUUCUAGGGGCGGUUGUGUGAGGCGUUAUGUAAUGGAGGCACUCCCUGGGGCCAACAAACCGCAGUGGUGUAACCGCCGGCCGGCCAGGCCACCAGAAGGAAAGCAGGGAAAAUGUAAACACCAUUCUGGGCCUUUCCCUUGCCUGCCACAAACAGGCCUUGGACAGAGCGGCUCUUCCGGUCCUCCAUUCCUGCUGCCUUAACCCCGUGGGCUGGCCUGGGAGGGGGUGAUAAUGGAGGCCGAGGGGUCAAAGAACUCUCCAGAAGGGAACAUCCAAGGCUCUUGAUCCCAGCCAGGGGGCAGGCCAGAGAGGAGAGCCCACUGAGGUCUUCCUGGGCUUCUCCUGGGUCUGCCACAGGCCAUGCAUCCCCGACAAAUGGGGCAUGCUGCCUCCCUCACCCCCAGAGUUGCUUUCUCUUCAAAGGCUUUGGAGGCUCGCUGUGUCCCAGAGGCCUCUCCCCGGCCUCCGCAGUGAGCCAGUGCAGACUCACCACUCACGUGCCCACACGCGUGGGGUGGCCUCCGAGCUGGCCGUCUCUGCCCCUCUGUCUCUCAGGUAUACACAAAGGUACGUCUCUCCCCGCCUUCAACACCUCAUCCCAGGCCAGACGCCUGCCUUCCCGCGGGCUCCCAGCAGCUCAGUCCUUCCGCACCACACCGAGGCUCCCUCUUCCAGGAAGCCUCCCCUGCCCGCUCCCGGCCACAGUCCCCCCUUCCUGCUCCGAGCUCCUGAGGCGCCUCUGGAUGCACAGCCUGACAUCCAGCCAUACACAAUCGCCCCCUCGUUCUCCAGUUGUUCGCGUUAAUCGUAACGGCCACAAUUUGUGCAGCACGCUGUCUGCCAGACCCGCUCCCUGAAGGUGCCCUUGGUAGGACGAUGUCACCCUCACGCCAACCCUAGAAAGUAGCAUCUUACCACCGUCACGUGGCUGGAACCCAAGCAGAGAGAGGUUACGUGAAUUACCCACAGUUCUAUCCACGGCUACGAGUGUCUUGACGGCAGAGCCCACAUUCACAACAUCCCGUGGCUAAGCCUCAUCUCCCCACACCUCCGAGCUCCUGGAAGGUGGGAACCUGUUCUGCCUCCCACCUCCCCCAGCAGGGAACCAGCUGGGCACCCACAAGACGCUCAAAUAAAGGCCAUGGCUUUCCUCAA
Molecule: long non-coding RNA, 4510 nt
Organism: Ailuropoda melanoleuca (giant panda)
Lineage: Eukaryota; Metazoa; Chordata; Mammalia; Carnivora; Ursidae
Exons: 2
Source: RefSeq, a predicted model, not a curated record